AACAUCUAACUGGUUUUCCAUCCACCAAUGCAUGGAAGGUAGUAAGAUAUGCAACGUAAGGUAACUUUAUUUCAUAAAUUAAGGUCAAACUUAAUUAACUAAGUUAACUA
This is a long non-coding RNA of Etheostoma spectabile (orangethroat darter), 110 nucleotides long. RefSeq lists it as uncharacterized. The transcript is spliced from 3 exons. NCBI's taxonomy places the organism in Eukaryota, Metazoa, Chordata, Actinopteri, Perciformes, Percidae. The record is from RefSeq and is a predicted model, not a curated record.